GGGGGUGUGACUCAGUGGUAGAGGGCUUGCCCAGCAUGCGCCAAGUCCUGGGUUCAAUCCCCAGCACCACCG
This 72-nucleotide transfer RNA is filed under the name Marmota marmota marmota (Alpine marmot). It matches the Rfam family "tRNA". Rfam says of the family: Transfer RNA (tRNA) molecules are approximately 80 nucleotides in length. Their secondary structure includes four short double-helical elements and three loops (D, anti-codon, and T loops). RNAcentral also lists the same sequence under 1 other name. The record is from Rfam by way of RNAcentral. Lineage: Eukaryota; Metazoa; Chordata; Mammalia; Rodentia; Sciuridae.